UACGUAGGGUGCGAGCGUUGUCCGGAAUUAUUGGGCGUAAAGGGCUCGUAGGCGGUCUGUCGCGUCGGGAGUGAAAACUCAGGGCUUAACCCUGAGCCUGCUUCCGAUACGGGCAGACUAGAGGUAUGCAGGGGAGAACGGAAUUCCUGGUGUAGCGGUGGAAUGCGCAGAUAUCAGGAGGAACACCGGUGGCGAAGGCGGUUCUCUGGGCCUGUACUGACGCUGAGGAACGAAAGCGUGGGGAGCGAACAGG
RNAcentral lists this ribosomal RNA (253 nucleotides) under uncultured bacterium. Its description in RNAcentral is "partial 16S ribosomal RNA". It matches the Rfam family "Bacterial small subunit ribosomal RNA", at positions 524 to 776 of the family's 1533-position model. The record is from RNAcentral.